CCUACGGGGGGCAGCAGUGGGGAAUAUUGGGCAAUGGGCGCAAGCCUGACCCAGCAACGCCGCGUGAAGGAAGAAGGCCCUCGGGUUGUAAACUUCUAUUAUUCGGGACGAAACAAAUGACGGUACCUAAUGAAUAAGCCACGGCUAACUACGUGCCAGCAGCCGCGGUAAUACGUAGGGGGCAAGCGUUAUCCGGAUUUACUGGGUGUAAAGGGCGUGUAGGCGGGAGGGCAAGUCAUAUGUGAAAUUCCAAGGCUCAAC
Molecule: ribosomal RNA, 261 nt
Filed under: uncultured bacterium
Lineage: Bacteria
Description: partial 16S ribosomal RNA
Rfam family: Bacterial small subunit ribosomal RNA
Source: RNAcentral